CCUACGGGAGGCAGCAGUGGGGAAUAUUGCACAAUGGGGGAAACCCUGAUGCAGCGACGCCGCGUGAGUGAAGAAGUAAUUCGUUAUGUAAAGCUCUAUCAGCAGGGAAGAAAAUGACGGUACCUGAGUAAGAAGCCCCGGCUAACUACGUGCCAGCAGCCGCGGUAAUACGUAGGGGGCAAGCGUUAUCCGGAUUUACUGGGUGGAAAGGGAGCGUAGACGGUAGGGCAAGUCUGGAGUGAAAGGCGGGGGCUCAACCCCCGGACUGCUCUGGAAACUGUACGGCUGGAGUGCAGUAGAGGGAAGUGGAAUUCCUGGUGUAGCGGUGAAAUGCGUAGAUAUUAGACAGAACACCAGUGGCGAAGGCAGCUUACUGGACUGUAACUGACGUUGAGGCUCGAAAGCGUGGGGAGCAAACAGGAUUAGAUACCCCUGUAGUC
This 440-nucleotide ribosomal RNA is filed under the name uncultured bacterium. Its description in RNAcentral is "partial 16S ribosomal RNA". It matches the Rfam family "Bacterial small subunit ribosomal RNA", at positions 338 to 795 of the family's 1533-position model. The record is from RNAcentral.